Molecule: ribosomal RNA, 464 nt
Filed under: uncultured Rhodocyclaceae bacterium
Lineage: Bacteria; Pseudomonadati; Pseudomonadota; Betaproteobacteria; Rhodocyclales; Rhodocyclaceae
Description: bacterial SSU rRNA
Rfam family: Bacterial small subunit ribosomal RNA
Source: RNAcentral
CCCGGACACAAGCGGUGGAUGAUGUGGUUUAAUUCGAUGCAACGCGAAAACCUUACCCACCUUUGACAUGGCAGGAAUCCUGAAGAGAUUUGGGAGUGCUCGAAAGAGAACCUGCACACAGGUGCUGCAUGGCUGUCGUCAGCUCGUGUCGUGAGAUGUUGGGUCAAGUCCCGCAACGAGCGCAACCCUUGUCAUUAGUUGCCAUCAUUUGGUUGGGCACUCUAAUGAGACUGCCGGUGACAAACCGGAGGAAGGUGGGGAUGACGUCAAGUCCUCAUGGCCCUUAUGGGUAGGGCUUCACACGUCAUACAAUGGUCAGUACAGAGGGUUGCCAACCCGCGAGGGGGAGCUAAUCCCACAAAGCCGAUCGUAGUCCGGAUCGCAGUCUGCAACUCGACUGCGUGAAGUCGGAAUCGCUAGUAAUCGUGGAUCAGCAUGUCACGGUGAAUACGUUCCCGGGUCUU